RNAcentral lists this ribosomal RNA (229 nucleotides) under uncultured bacterium. RNAcentral describes it as "partial 16S ribosomal RNA". It matches the Rfam family "Bacterial small subunit ribosomal RNA", at positions 568 to 796 of the family's 1533-position model. The record is from RNAcentral.
CACGUAGGCGGCCUGGUAAGUCAGAUGUGAAAGCCCGGGGCUUAACCCCGGAAGUGCAUUUGAUACUGCCAGGCUUGAGUAUGGGAGAGGGAAAUGGAAUUCCUGGUGUAGAGGUGAAAUUCGUAGAUAUCAGGAGGAACACCGGUGGCGAAGGCGACUUCCUGGACCAAUACUGACGCUGAGGUGCGAAGGCGUGGGUAGCAAACAGGAUUAGAUACCCUGGUAGUCC